UGGGGAAUAUUGCACAAUGGGGGAAACCCUGAUGAAGCGACGCCGCGUGGAGGAAGAAGGUCUUCGGUUUGUAAACUCCUGUUGUUGAGGAAGAUAAUGACGGUACUCAACAAGGAAGUGACGGCUAACUACGUGCCAGCAGCCGCGGCAAAACGUAGGUCACAAGCGUUGUCCGGAAUUACUGGGUGUAAAGGGAGCGCAGGCGGGAGAACAAGUUGGAAGUGAAAUCCAUGGGCUCAACCCAUGAACUGCUUUCAAAACUGUUUUUCUUGAGUAGUGCAGAGGUAGGCGGAAUUCCCGGUGUAGCGGUGGAAUGCGUAGAUAUCGGGAGGAACACCAGUGGCGAAGGCGGCCUACUGGGCACCAACUGACGCUGAGGCUCGAAAGUGUGGGUAGCAAACA
RNAcentral lists this ribosomal RNA (402 nucleotides) under uncultured prokaryote. Its description in RNAcentral is "bacterial SSU rRNA". It matches the Rfam family "Bacterial small subunit ribosomal RNA", at positions 355 to 774 of the family's 1533-position model. The record is from RNAcentral.